RNAcentral lists this transfer RNA (69 nucleotides) under Falco sparverius. RNAcentral describes it as "tRNA-Pro". It matches the Rfam family "tRNA". Rfam says of the family: Transfer RNA (tRNA) molecules are approximately 80 nucleotides in length. Lineage: Eukaryota; Metazoa; Chordata; Aves; Falconiformes; Falconidae. The record is from RNAcentral.
CAGAAGAUAGUUUAAUGAGAAUGCCAGCUUUGGGAGUUGGUGGCAGAGGUUCGAGUCCUCUUUUUCUGA